Molecule: transfer RNA, 85 nt
Filed under: Oligoflexia bacterium
Lineage: Bacteria; Pseudomonadati; Bdellovibrionota; Oligoflexia
Description: tRNA-Leu
Rfam family: tRNA
About the family: Transfer RNA (tRNA) molecules are approximately 80 nucleotides in length. Their secondary structure includes four short double-helical elements and three loops (D, anti-codon, and T loops). Further hydrogen bonds mediate the characteristic L-shaped molecular structure. tRNAs have two regions of fundamental functional importance: the anti-codon, which is responsible for specific mRNA codon recognition, and the 3' end, to which the tRNAs corresponding amino acid is attached (by aminoacyl-tRNA synthetases). tRNAs cope with the degeneracy of the genetic code in two manners: having more than one tRNA (with a specific anti-codon) for a particular amino acid; and 'wobble' base-pairing, i.e. permitting non-standard base-pairing at the 3rd anti-codon position.
Source: RNAcentral
GCCGGGGUGGUGGAAUUGGUAGACACACAGGACUUAAAAUCCUGCGGCCCUUAAAGCUGUGCCGGUUCGAUUCCGGCCCUCGGCA